GCACACGUGCUGUCCGUGCUCCCUCAGGCUGACCUGCCACGGCCACUGGCCCGGCUGGGCAUUCUGCCCCGACACGAUGCGGCCUGACACGUGUGGGCGUCCGCACACUGCGGGGACCCCGUGCUCCAGGGGAGGACUCGGGCGGUGCCCCGCAGCUGAGCUGGGGGAAGCGGGAGCUGGGGCCCUAAAUGGCUCCUGGGACAGCCCGAACGCGGCUCGGUACGGUACGGGUGGACGCUGAGGUCUGGGGUGGCUGAAUGAGGGUCCCCUCCCCCCCCCCUCCCCGCGUCUGGGCUCCUUGGAGGACCUGCCCCGCACAGGCUAUGAGGCGCGGGCCGGGGAUCACACAUCGGCUGCACCUGCCCCUCCUCUCGGCACCCCGAUAUUCGUCCUACCUGAAUCCAGGCCUGUCGCGCUGGCGUUCACCAGGGAGAAGUUGGGUGGGAGAGCAGGGGGACUCCCCUGCAGAGCCACGGAGAGGAGGGAGAGCAGGCUGGCGGCGAGGGCCGGCGACAUGGUAUGUCCCAGCCACCACUUCCGCGGCGGGCCCUUGGGGUCAGAGUCCUCAGACACUCAGGGGGGAGAAGAUGGCCGCAGCCAAGCCCAGGUUCUGGGCUUGUCCUGGGGUGUGGCUGACUCCUCCGCGCCUUGCCCUUGGGGCUCGGCUCCGCACUGCUCCUGGGCACAGGGUCCUUGGCCUCCGCCACGUCUUCGGCCAGACGCUCGGGACCUUCCCUCCCCCGCCCUGGCCUCACUGGCCUCGCGGCACCAACCGCGCCACCACUCACGGGGCUGGCACCGCUUCCCGUGUUCUGGCCUGUGUCCCGCGUGUCACAUGCCUCCCGAGUGCGCUAUUAUCCCCCUAUGCGGCAGAGGAAGAGGAACUCCCGUGGUAUAAUGACUCACCGGAGGCCGUACAGGUCACUGGUCAACUGCUGAGUGUGAGACUGAGGAGGUAAAAUACACACAGCCUUGUGCUGGGGUUGGAAUGUUUGUCUCCCCUCCCCCCCCCCCCCCCAAGUUCAUAUAUCGGAAUCCGUAGGUUGAAGCCCCAGGUGAUGUGUUUAGAGGUGGGACCUUUGCAAAGCAAUUAGGUCCGAAGGGUGGAGCCCUCAUGAGUGGGAUCAGUGCCCUUACAAGGCCACGUGAGGACACAGGGCAAUGGCAGCAGCUAUGAACCAGGAAGGGGCCCUUCCCAGACACCUUGACCUCAAACUUCCAGCCCAGGAACUGUGAGAAAUAAAUAUUCGUUGUUUAUGAGCCACCCACCCACUUUAUGGUAUUUUGUCAGCCAGCAAAGCAUUUGACUCAGAAAUGAUGUCACAUCCCUCCUCUUCUACGUCGGCUCGUCCCGUUCCUCGUGUCUGCCGAGCUCGUGGUGGGAACUCGGUCUCCCCGUGGACUUACAUAAGCUAGGCCAGUUCACAGUCCCGGACAGAUGCCUGGGACAUCUGGUGCCAACAUCAGGACACCAGUCUGCUGCCGGGGAGUCUAGAACUUGGCCUUCUCUUUGUCGUUUCUCAACCCUUGAUUUUAUUUUACUUAACACACUUCUUGGUUUGUAUUCAUUUUUUUAUGUUUUAUUUAUUUUUGAGAGAGACAGAGAGCGCGCG
This is a long non-coding RNA of Prionailurus viverrinus (fishing cat), 1613 nucleotides long. RefSeq lists it as uncharacterized. The transcript has 3 exons. NCBI's taxonomy places the organism in Eukaryota, Metazoa, Chordata, Mammalia, Carnivora, Felidae. The record is from RefSeq and is a predicted model, not a curated record.